This 632-nucleotide ribosomal RNA is filed under the name Phenoliferia psychrophenolica. RNAcentral describes it as "eukaryotic LSU rRNA". It matches the Rfam family "Eukaryotic large subunit ribosomal RNA", at positions 38 to 667 of the family's 3401-position model. Lineage: Eukaryota; Fungi; Basidiomycota; Microbotryomycetes; Kriegeriales; Kriegeriaceae. The record is from RNAcentral.
GCAUAUCAAUAAGCGGAGGAAAAGAAACUAACAAGGAUUCCCCUAGUAACGGCGAGUGAAGCGGGAAGAGCUCAAAUUUGUAAUCUGGCACCUUCGGUGUCCGAGUUGUAAUCUCGAGAAGUGUUUUCCGCGCCGGACCGCAUACAAGUCUGUUGGAAUACAGCGUCAUAGUGGUGAGAACCCCGUAACUGAUGCGGAUGCCCGGUGCUUUGUGAUACACUUUCGAAGAGUCGAGUUGUUUGGGAAUGCAGCUCAAAUUGGGUGGUAAAUUCCAUCUAAAGCUAAAUAUUGGCGAGAGACCGAUAGCGAACAAGUACCGUGAGGGAAAGAUGAAAAGCACUUUGGAAAGAGAGUUAACAGUACGUGAAAUUGUUGGAAGGGAAACGCUUGAAGUCAGACUUGCUAUUUGGAAUUCAGCCGCAAGGUGUACUUUUCAAUUCGCAGGCCAGCAUCAGUUUUCGGGGGUGGAAAAGGGUAGAGAGAAGGUAGCAAUUUCGGUUGUGUUAUAGCUCUUUGCUGGAUUCAUCCUUGGGGACUGAGGAACGCAGCACGCUUUUUGCAAGGCUUUCGAGCUUUUCGUGCUUAGGAUGCUGGUGGAAUGGCUUUAAACGACCCGUCUUGAAACACGGACC